RNAcentral lists this ribosomal RNA (427 nucleotides) under uncultured bacterium. RNAcentral's name for it is "partial 16S ribosomal RNA". It matches the Rfam family "Bacterial small subunit ribosomal RNA", at positions 354 to 796 of the family's 1533-position model. The record is from RNAcentral.
GUGGGGAAUAUUGGGCAAUGGGGGAAACCCUGACCCAGCAACGCCGCGUGAAGGAAGAAGGCUUUCGGGUUGUAAACUUCUUUUAUGAGGGACGAAGAAGUGACGGUACCUCAUGAAUAAGCCACGGCUAACUACGUGCCAGCAGCCGCGGUAAUACGUAGGUGGCAAGCGUUGUCCGGAUUUACUGGGUGUAAAGGGCGCGUAGGCGGGAUAGCAAGUCAGGUGUGAAAUCCGGGGGCUUAACCCUCGAACUGCACUUGAAACUGUUAUUCUUGAGUGAUGGAGAGGCAAGCGCAAUUCCUAGUGUAGCGGUGAAAUGCGUAGAUAUUAGGAGGAACACCAGUGGCGAAGGCGGCUUGCUGGACAUUAACUGACGCUGAGGCGCGAAAGCGUGGGGAGCAAACAGGAUUAGAAACCCGGGUAGUCC